This is a long non-coding RNA of Erinaceus europaeus (western European hedgehog), 1819 nucleotides long. RefSeq lists it as uncharacterized. The record is from RefSeq and is a predicted model, not a curated record. Lineage: Eukaryota; Metazoa; Chordata; Mammalia; Eulipotyphla; Erinaceidae. The transcript has 3 exons.
UAGUAUUAAGGAAGGAACUUAAUUCUGAGACUAGCUCCUGCUGAAGAAGGAACCCUAAUCUGCUUCCUGCUGAAAGUGUGCUCAGCACACAGUUGUGGUCAAUUUCAGAACUGCUGCUAUGCUGCUACCAAGUUGAUGAUAGGAGGCCACCUUCAGAGGCAAGAUUUAAAAUUCCUGAUAGACCCAUGAGGCCAUGAGGUUGAGGCAGGUAAUAGGGGCAAACUCAGUUGGAGGUGAUUGACGAAGCCCUAGCAGAUGGCAGAGUGCAGGAGCAAGACGUGGGGGAGAAGGGGGAUGAGGUUGACAGAAGAACUAAGGGGAGACCAAAAGGAAGCCUGGAAGGGGCUGAUAUCCAAGUAGAGUGGGUUCUGUUACUAGUCUAGAUACCAAAAGAAUGACUUCAGUAUGACAUAACUGGGCAGACAAGAUGGGACAGCAAUCUUUAAUGACAACAGUACCAGACAAAAUCCUAGGGUAGGGCCCACUUUUCUGCAUGUUGCUCUCAAUUCAAAUCAAAUAAUAUUGUAUUCGCGGAUCACAAUCUAAUCAACACAACAAGAACCACCCCAGCAUGCUGCACUUCAGACUGUGACCAGAAACUUCAGGUGUGGAAUGACACCCCUUCAGCUUCAUCACUUGGCCACCAGGUUCCAUAUGCUGACCAGACUUCCCUGGACAGACGACCCCAUCAAUGUGUACUGGAGCGCCACUUCCUCAGAGCCCCACCCUACUAUGGAAAGAGAGAGGCAGACUGGGAGUAUGGAUCGACCAGUCAACGCCCAUGUUCAGCGGGGAAGCAAUUACAGAAGCCAGACCUUCCACCCUCUGCAACCCACAACGACCCUGGAUCCAUACUCCCAGACAGAUAGAGAAUGGGAAGGCUAUCAGGGGAGGUGGUGGGAUGUGGAGAUCGGGUUAUGGGAAUUGUGCGGAAUUGUACCCCUUUCAUUCUAUGGUUUUGUUAAUGUCUCCUUUCUUAAAUAAAUAAAUUAAUUAAUUAAUUACAAUAAAGAUAAAUAAAAGUUAAAAAAGUAUGCUUAGGCUGGGGGUAUGGCUCCACCUGCCAGAUGCCCAUGUCCAGCAAAGAAGCAAUUAAAGAAGCCAGAGCUUUUUCCUUCCAAACCACAAAAAGAAUAUUGGUCCAUACCCCCCAGAGAGAACUGUUAGGGGAAGUUAGGGGAAGAGGGCUCUAGACCCCAAUUCCAGCAGGACCCAAAACACUUGUCACCAGGAAUCUUUGUUUUUAUACCAUCACUGAAAAAGAAGAGAAUCUGAAAAACACCAGAGGAAGUCAGGCACUGUUUCACUUAUUUGAGAAAGAAGAGGAAAAAGGAAAUACAUUCAAAGGUAGUAAUAAGUGUAGAUAUGACUUGGAAAGGAAAUGAAGGCAGGACCGUAGAAAUAAUGGGCAAAAACAUAUUGACAUCAAUAUGGAAAUAGAUAAGUGGAUAUGUAGACAUAAAGUCAACCCAUAUCUGUGACGUUGGGAAAACUAUUGCAGUUUCUGCUGGAGGGGAUGGGGAUACAGAACACUGGUGGUAGGCACAGUAUGAAAUUAGACCCUUAUUAUCUUAUAAUUUUGUAAAUCACUAAUACACUGUUAAAUUCUGCUUAUAAUUUUAGUGUUAAUUCUACCAUACUACAAGUAUGUUUUGCUAGUGUAUAUUCUGUCUCACUAAUGCAAUGUAAUUUAUAUUUAAAUAAAGACAUAAGGGACACAUAUAAAAGACAAUUUUUAAAAAUUGCUUCAAAGGUAAAUCAUAAAGUUAGUUGCCCCAAUAUCCCAUGUCAGAAAACAAAAAUAAACAAACCCCCCCAA